RNAcentral lists this ribosomal RNA (487 nucleotides) under uncultured bacterium. Its description in RNAcentral is "bacterial SSU rRNA". It matches the Rfam family "Bacterial small subunit ribosomal RNA", at positions 15 to 507 of the family's 1533-position model. The record is from RNAcentral.
GAUCAUGGCUCAGGAUGAACGCUAGCUACAGGCUUAACACAUGCAAGUCGCGGGGUAACAUCUGGUAGAGCUUGCUCUUCCAGGAUGACGACCGGCGCACGGGUGAGUAACGCGUAUCCAACCUGGCCCAUACCACGGGAUAGCCCGUCGAAAGGCGGAUUAAUACCGUAUGCUGUCAUUAAGAUGCAUAUAUUGAUGACGAAAGGACUGGCGGUAUGGGAUGGGGAUGCGUCUGAUUAGCUUGUUGGCGGGGUAACGGCCCACCAAGGCGACGAUCAGUAGGGGUUCUGAGAGGAAGGUCCCCCACAUUGGAACUGAGACACGGUCCAAACUCCUACGGGAGGCAGCAGUGGGGAAUAUUGCACAAUGGGGGAAACCCUGAUGCAGCGACGCCGCGUGAGCGAAGAAGUAUUUCGGUAUGUAAAGCUCUAUCAGCAGGGAAGAAGAAAUGACGGUACCUGACUAAGAAGCACCGGCUAAAUACGUG